AACGAACGCUGGCGGCGUGCCUAACACAUGCAAGUCGAACGGAGAUAAGGGGCUUGCUCCUUAUUUUAGUGGCGCACGGGUGAGUAACGCGUAGAUAAUCUGCCUGAUGAUCUGGGAUAACAGUUCGAAAGGACUGCUAAUACCGGAUAAGCCCACGGGGUCUUUGGACUCUGCGGGUAAAGGGGGGGACCUUAGGGCCUUCUGUCAUCAUAUGAGUCUGCGUACCAUUAGCUAGUUGGUAGGGUAAGGGCCUACCACGGCUACGAUGGUUAGCUGGUCUGAGAGGAUGAUCAGCAACACUGGAACUGCGACACGGUCCAGACUCCUACGGGAGGCAGCAGUGGGGAAUUUUGCGCAAUGGGCGAAAGCCUGACGCAGCAACGCCGCGUGAGUGAUGAAGGCUUUCGGGUCGUAAAGCUCUGUCAGAGGGAAAGAAGUGUAUUGUGGCUAAUAUCCACGAUACUUGACGGUACCCUCAAAGGAAGCACCGGCUAACUCCGUGCCAGCAGCCGCCGUAA
Molecule: ribosomal RNA, 518 nt
Filed under: uncultured bacterium
Lineage: Bacteria
Description: partial 16S ribosomal RNA
Rfam family: Bacterial small subunit ribosomal RNA
Source: RNAcentral